AUGCUAUCAAACAUCUUGGUGGAGUUGUUACAGAUUACAAGAAGUUCAAUGCUGAUUUUCAGCAUUGUAUCUAUGAUAUUGAGGGAGGAAGAUGAAUUUAUAAGUGCAUGGAAUGAAAUGCUUGACAAGUAUGGACUCCGGGACAAUGCAUGGCUCCAAAGGUUAUUUGAGAAAAGGGAGCAUUGGGCCCUAGUAUAUGGCAGGAAUACUUUCUCUGCACACAUGAGCAGUAACCAAAGGAGUGAAAGCAUGAACAACGAACUAAAACAUUACAUUAGUUCUAAGUAUGACAUGCUUACUUUUUUUGAGCAUUUCGAACGUCUAGUUGCAGAUAAAAGAUUUGAAGAGGUGAGAUGUGACUUCAAAGCAACACAAAGUACUCCUAAGCUGAAGGCAGAAAGCUAUAUGUUAAGGCAAGCAUCAACUACAUAUACUCCACCAAUAUUCAAGAUGUUUCAGGAACAAGUGCUUCGGACCUUAAACUAUGAUACAUUCCUUUGUGAUGACAGUGACACCGAGGAGAAGGUUUACAAAGUAAAAUUUCCUGGUACAGAGCGUGAUCAUGUUGUUAAAUUUUUUCCAAAAGAAGAAAAGGUCAAUUGCAGUUGCAAGAAGUUUAAAUUUGCUGGAAUUCUUUGCUCUCAUUCCUUGAAGGUACUUGACAUUAAUAAUAUCAAGCACAUCCCUCAACAGUACAUCUUGAAAAGAUGGACAAUUGAUGCAAAAGUUUUGGAUAUAACAAGCAACUGCAACCUGCAUGAAGACCGCAAAACAAUACUGACAAAACGCUAUAAAGAGUUGUGCAGAAUGUUUAUCCAAAUAGCUGCUGAGCCGCAGAGUCUGAAGAGUCAUACUUGAUGGCUGCUAAUUAUGCAGAGAAAUUAGCAGAAGAGGUGGAGAAAUGUCUAAAACAUAGAUCUGAUCCAGAUACAGGUAACUCUGUUUGUUCACAAGGUAUGUACAUUCAGUUUUAUGCUCUCAUCAAGCUUAAAUUUAUAUUUACUUUUAUAGUUGCAGACUCAAACAAUAUCACGACUACAAGUUCAGAACAAAAUGAGAGGCCUACCAAGCCAAAAGGAAUGAAGGUCAAGGAGAAGACGGCUCGAGGAUCAAACAGACAUCCAGAUAUAUGUAACUCCCUUGGCACAAGGUCUGUAAGUUUAGUUUUAUGAUCUCAUCAAACUAACCUAUGUUUGCUUUUAUAGUUACAGACCCGAACAUUAACUCGUCUACAGGUUCAGAACAAAAUGAGGGAUUUGCCAAUCCAACAGGUAACAAGGUUAAAAAGAAGACUGUUCGAGGGUCAAGUAGACCCACUAAUAUGGGUGUGUAGUUUUAUAAUGUUAUCAAACUUGAAUUUUAUUUAAAUAUAUAUUUGCAGAACGAAACAUUAACUCAUGUACAAGUUCAAAACAAAAUAAGGGGCUUGCUAAGCCAAAAG
Molecule: ribosomal RNA, 1441 nt
Filed under: Triticum aestivum (bread wheat)
Lineage: Eukaryota; Viridiplantae; Streptophyta; Magnoliopsida; Poales; Poaceae
Description: partial small subunit ribosomal RNA
Source: RNAcentral